ACGAGAGAGCAGUAUGCUCUGUUACAUUUUAUAUUGUAUACAUUUGUAAUAUACUAUUAACAUAAUAAGGUACACUUUAACUUCACUAUAGUCAAGCAUUGGAUAAACCAAUUAACUGUGUUUUACCACAAAAUAACCAUGGUUUUGCUAAUAAUAAUCAUACACCAAAAAAAACAUGGUUACUAAACUUUUACCAUAAAAAAACAUUCAUUUUCGUAAGGGGAAUAUGAGUGUUUGUUUUUUUGUAGUUUUUGAGUCAAUUGCAUACCGCUUUUAGCUGUACACAUUAAUUAACUUAAACAGUUUUCGUAAAUGCAUUUCAGAGAAAAGUGAAUUCUGAGAUUUGAAUAAUGCAUCUGACGUGUGGGAUGACGUCACGACGCACGUAUUUUGAUUUUUACCAGUCGCUCAAGACAGACGGAUUCAGUCCCAAGAAGCUAAAGUUUUUCAAAGACAUUUGUAGGGAGGACUUUGCAGCUAAUGAUUUCCUAAGCCUGAACCAAAACCUGCCAGACUAAAGUUGAUUUGGGAGAGAAAGACGUUGUAAACUUAAUCAUCUUGACAUUCUUCAAUGAGUAAUUGUUCAAUUUUUAGGCAAAUACUGUACACUUUGAAUGCUGUGAAUAAAACUAUAUUUUAAAUAUA
Non-coding RNA from Misgurnus anguillicaudatus (oriental weatherfish), 645 nucleotides. NCBI's taxonomy places the organism in Eukaryota, Metazoa, Chordata, Actinopteri, Cypriniformes, Cobitidae. The record is from RefSeq and is a predicted model, not a curated record.